CCCAGAAUGCAUUUCGCACCAGCAAAAAAGAGACAACAAUGGCGGAGACAACUCACAACUGGACAACUGAGGAAACCCAGGCCCUCAUUGCCUGUAUGACUGGGUCAGGGAUGGAGACAGGGACUUUGUAACCACUUCUGACCUGGAAAUAACUGCCAAACAGGCCAAAAAGAAGUAGAACAACAACAAGUUUGCUGCAACAACCAGGGGCGGACUAAUGGAGUGCA
Long non-coding RNA from Anoplopoma fimbria (sablefish), 227 nucleotides. RefSeq lists it as uncharacterized. The record is from RefSeq and is a predicted model, not a curated record. NCBI's taxonomy places the organism in Eukaryota, Metazoa, Chordata, Actinopteri, Perciformes, Anoplopomatidae. The transcript is spliced from 3 exons.